AGGUGAUCCAACCGCAGGUUCCCCUACGGUUACCUUGUUACGACUUCACCCCAGUCAUGAAUCACAAAGUGGUAAGCGCCCUCCCGAAGGUUAAGCUACCUACUUCUUUUGCAACCCACUCCCAUGGUGUGACGGGCGGUGUGUACAAGGCCCGGGAACGUAUUCACCGUGGCAUUCUGAUCCACGAUUACUAGCGAUUCCGACUUCAUGGAGUCGAGUUGCAGACUCCAAUCCGGACUACGACGCACUUUAUGAGGUCCGCUUGCUCUCGCGAGGUCGCUUCUCUUUGUAUGCGCCAUUGUAGCACGUGUGUAGCCCUGGUCGUAAGGGCCAUGAUGACUUGACGUCAUCCCCACCUUCCUCCAGUUUAUCACUGGCAGUCUCCUUUGAGUUCCCGGCCGGACCGCUGGCAACAAAGGAUAAGGGUUGCGCUCGUUGCGGGACUUAACCCAACAUUUCACAACACGAGCUGACGACAGCCAUGCAGCACCUGUCUCACGGUUCCCGAAGGCACAUUCUCAUCUCUGAAAACUUCCGUGGAUGUCAAGACCAGGUAAGGUUCUUCGCGUUGCAUCGAAUUAAACCACAUGCUCCACCGCUUGUGCGGGCCCCCGUCAAUUCAUUUGAGUUUUAACCUUGCGGCCGUACUCCCCAGGCGGUCGACUUAACGCGUUAGCUCCGGAAGCCACGCCUCAAGGGCACAACCUCCAAGUCGACAUCGUUUACGGCGUGGACUACCAGGGUAUCUAAUCCUGUUUGCUCCCCACGCUUUCGCACCUGAGCGUCAGUCUUCGUCCAGGGGGCCGCCUUCGCCACCGGUAUUCCUCCAGAUCUCUACGCAUUUCACCGCUACACCUGGAAUUCUACCCCCCUCUACGAGACUCAAGCUUGCCAGUAUCAGAUGCAGUUCCCAGGUUGAGCCCGGGGAUUUCACAUCUGACUUAACAAACCGCCUGCGUGCGCUUUACGCCCAGUAAUUCCGAUUAACGCUUGCACCCUCCGUAUUACCGCGGCUGCUGGCACGGAGUUAGCCGGUGCUUCUUCUGCGGGUAACGUCAAUGAGCAAAGGUAUUAACUUUACUCCCUUCCUCCCCGCUGAAAGUACUUUACAACCCGAAGGCCUUCUUCAUACACGCGGCAUGGCUGCAUCAGGCUUGCGCCCAUUGUGCAAUAUUCCCCACUGCUGCCUCCCGUAGGAGUCUGGACCGUGUCUCAGUUCCAGUGUGGCUGGUCAUCCUCUCAGACCAGCUAGGGAUCGUCGCCUAGGUGAGCCGUUACCCCACCUACUAGCUAAUCCCAUCUGGGCACAUCCGAUGGCAAGAGGCCCUAAGGUCCCCCUCUUUGGUCUUGCGACGUUAUGCGGUAUUAGCUACCGUUUCCAGUAGUUAUCCCCCUCCAUCGGGCAGUUUCCCAGACAUUACUCACCCGUCCGCCACUCGUCAGCAAAGCAGCAAGCUGCUUUCUGUUACCGUUCGACUUGCAUGUGUUAGGCCUGCCGCCAGCGUUCAAUCUGAGCCAUGAUCAAACUCU
This 1530-nucleotide ribosomal RNA is filed under the name Escherichia coli 2362-75. RNAcentral's name for it is "16S ribosomal RNA". Lineage: Bacteria; Pseudomonadati; Pseudomonadota; Gammaproteobacteria; Enterobacterales; Enterobacteriaceae. RNAcentral also lists the same sequence under 1 other name. The record is from RNAcentral.